RNAcentral lists this ribosomal RNA (168 nucleotides) under uncultured bacterium. RNAcentral's name for it is "partial 16S ribosomal RNA". It matches the Rfam family "Bacterial small subunit ribosomal RNA", at positions 338 to 498 of the family's 1533-position model. The record is from RNAcentral.
CCUACGGGAGGCAGCAGUGGGGAAUUUUGGACAAUGGGCGCAAGCCUGAUCCAGCCAUGCCGCGUGAGUGAAGAAGGCCUUCGGGUUGUAAAGCUCUUUCGGUGGGGAAGAAAUGGUUUCGGUUAAUACCCGGAGCUGAUGACGGUACCCGCAGAAGAAGCACCGGCU